RNAcentral lists this ribosomal RNA (1462 nucleotides) under uncultured Bordetella sp. RNAcentral describes it as "partial 16S-23S ribosomal RNA intergenic spacer". It matches the Rfam family "Bacterial small subunit ribosomal RNA". The record is from RNAcentral. Lineage: Bacteria; Pseudomonadati; Pseudomonadota; Betaproteobacteria; Burkholderiales; Alcaligenaceae.
GGUUUGAUCCUGGCUCAGAUUGAACGCUGGCGGGAUAUUGCUGGCAUGCAAGUCGAACGGCAGCACGGACUUCGGUCUGGUGGCGAGGGCGAACGGGUGAGUAAUGUAUCGAACGCAGCUCGGUAGCGGGGAUAACUACGCGAAAGUGUAGCUAAUACCGCAUACGCCCUUCGGGGGAAAGCGGGGGACCUUCGGGCCUCGCACUACGAUGGGCUGAUACGGAUUAGCGAAGGUGGGGUAACGGCUCACCAAGGCGACGAUCCGUAGCUGGCUUGAGAGGACGACCAGCCACACUGGGACUGGAGACACGGCCUCAGACUCCAUGGAGGCGCAGGGGGGAAUUUUGACAAUGGGGGAAACCCUGAUCCAGCCAUCCCGCGUGUGCGAUGAAGGCCUUCAAGCCAAAAGCACUUUUGCAGGAAAGAAACGGCACGGGAUAAUACCCCAGGCAACUGACGGUACCUGGCACAAGCACCGGCUAACUACGUGCCAGCAGCCGCGGUAAUACGUAGGGUGCAAGCGCUAACGGAAUUACUGGGCGUAAAGCGUGGUGCAGGCGGUUCGGAGAAAGAUGGAAAUCCAGAGCUUAACUUUGGAACUGCAUUUUUAACUACCGAGCUAGAGUGCGCUCGAGAGUGGAAUUCCGCGUGUAGCAGUGAAAUGCGUAGAUAUGCGGAGGAACACCGAUGGCGAAGGCAGCCUCGGGAUAACACUGACGCUCAUGCACGAAAGCGUGGGGAGCAAACAGGAUUAGAUACCCUGGUAGUCCACGUCUUUAAACGAUGUCAACUAGCUGUUGGGGCCUUCGCCCUGGUAUGGGCAGCUUAACGCGUGAAGUUGACCGUCUGGGGAGUACGGUCGUAGGAUUAAACUCAAAGGAAUUGACGGGGACCCGCACAAGCGGCGGAUGAUGUGUGGAUUAAUUCGAUGCAACGCGAAAAACCUUACCUACCCUUGACAUGUCUGGAAUCCCGAAGAGAUUUGGGAGUGCGUCGGCAAGAGAACCGAACACAGGUGCUGCAUGGCUGUCGUCAGCUCGUGUCGAGAUGUUGCUAAGUCCCGCAACGAGCGCAACCCUGUCAUUAGUUGCCACGAAAGGGCACUCUAAUGAGACUGCCGGUGACAAACCGGAGGAAGGUGGGGAUGACGUCAAGUCCUCAUGGCCCUUAUGGGUAGGGCUUCACACGUCAUACAAUGGUCGGGACAGAGGGUCGCCAACCCGCGAGGGGAGCCAAUCCCAGAAACCCGAUCGUAGUCCGGAUCGCAGUCUGCAACCUGACACUGCGUGAAGUCGGAAUCGCUAGUAAUCGUGGAUCAGCAUGUCGCGGUGAAUACGUUCCCGGGUCUUGCACACACUGCCCGUCACACCAUGGGAGUGGGUUUUACCAGAAGUAGCGAAUGAACCGUAAGGAGUGAUUACCACGGUAGAUUCAUGACUGGGGGUGAAGUCGUAACAAGGUAA